This 421-nucleotide ribosomal RNA is filed under the name uncultured bacterium. RNAcentral's name for it is "partial 16S ribosomal RNA". It matches the Rfam family "Bacterial small subunit ribosomal RNA", at positions 359 to 773 of the family's 1533-position model. The record is from RNAcentral.
UAUAUUUGACAAUUGGGCAAAACCUGAUGCAGGCAUGACGCGUGUUUGAAAACGGUCUUCUGAUUUUUAAGCACUUUAUGUUGGGGGGGAGGGCAGUACGUUAAUCACUUGUUGUUUUGAGGGUUGCGACAGAAUAAGCACCGGCUAAAUUGGUGCCUGCAGCCGCGGUAAUACGAAGGGUGCAAGUGUUCAUCGGAAUUACUUGGCUUAAAGCGCGCGUAGGUGGUGUGUUAAGUUGGAAGUGAAAGCCCCGGGCUCAACCUGGGAACUGCUUUCAAAACUGGCAAGCUAGAGUAUGGCAGAGGGUGGUGGAAUUUCCUGUGUAGCGGUGAAAUGCGUAGAUAUAGGAAGGAACACCAGUGGCGAAGGCGACCACCUGGGCUAAUACUGACACUGAGGUGCGAAAGCGUGGGGAGCAAAC